Molecule: ribosomal RNA, 1015 nt
Filed under: Vibrio parahaemolyticus
Lineage: Bacteria; Pseudomonadati; Pseudomonadota; Gammaproteobacteria; Vibrionales; Vibrionaceae
Description: bacterial SSU rRNA
Rfam family: Bacterial small subunit ribosomal RNA
Source: RNAcentral
AGAGUUUGAUCCUGGCUCAGAUUGAACGCUGGCGGCAGGCCUAAGACAUGCAAGUCGAGCGGAAACGAGUUAUCUUAACCUUCGGGGAACGAUAACGGCGUCGAGCGGCGGACGGGUGAGUAAUGCCUAGGAAAUUGCCCUGAUGUGGGGGAUAACCAUUGGAAACGAUGGCUAAUACCGCAUGAUGCCUACGGGCCAAAGAGGGGGACCUUCGGGCCUCUCGCGUCAGGAUAUGCCUAGGUGGGAUUAGCUAGUUGGUGAGGUAAGGGCUCACCAAGGCGACGAUCCCUAGCUGGUCUGAGAGGAUGAUCAGCCACACUGGAACUGAGACACGGUCCAGACUCCUACGGGAGGCAGCAGUGGGGAAUAUUGCACAAUGGGCGCAAGCCUGAUGCAGCCAUGCCGCGUGUGUGAAGAAGGCCUUCGGGUUGUAAAGCACUUUCAGUCGUGAGGAAGGUAGUGUAGUUAAUAGCUGCAUUAUUUGACGUUAGCGACAGAAGAAGCACCGGCUAACUCCGUGCCAGCAGCCGCGGUAAUACGGAGGGUGCGAGCGUUAAUCGGAAUUACUGGGCGUAAAGCGCAUGCAGGUGGUUUGUUAAGUCAGAUGUGAAAGCCCGGGGCUCAACCUCGGAAUAGCAUUUGAAACCUGCAGACUAGAGUACUGUAGAGGGGGGUAGAAUUUCAGGUGUAGCGGUGAAAUGCGUAGAGAUCUGAAGGAAUACCGGUGGCGAAGGCGGCCCCCUGGACAGAUACUGACACUCAGAUGCGAAAGCGUGGGGAGCAAACAGGAUUAGAUACCCGGUAGUCCACGCCGUAAACGAUGUCUACUUGGAGGUUGUGGCCUUGAGCCGUGGCUUUCGGAGCUAACGCGUUAAGUAGACAGCCUGGGGAGUACGGUCGCAAGAUUAAAACUCAAAUGAAUUGACGGGGGCCCGCACAAGCGGUGGAGCAUGUGGUUUAAUUCGAUGCAACGCGAAGAACCUUACCUACUCUUGACAUCCAGAGAACUUUCCAG